Non-coding RNA from Xyrichtys novacula (pearly razorfish), 1517 nucleotides. The record is from the annotation of a GenBank genome assembly. Lineage: Eukaryota; Metazoa; Chordata; Actinopteri; Labriformes; Labridae.
AAGAAGAAGAAGAAGAAGACGCUCACACUCAUUCAUUCACUGACAGGAGCGCACACACCGUCGGUGAGUAGCGACUAAACUUCGUGAUCCCGGAGUUGCCAGCCACUGUGGGGACUCACUGGUGAUGGGUUUAGCACGUGGGAGCGGCUGUAGGUCCAGACGAUCUUGUAAAGUUAUUGAUUUGCGUUCUGAGACGUACAUCUUUGUAUUGAUGUAGUUAGCGCUUGUGUUAGCAACAUGCUAUCCCGUCUCGGUCGCUCACGGCGUGAGGCACGUUCAGUAAGCCCGAUUGCAUUGUGGGUAACGUAGUCGCUUAUUGUUGCGCUCUCACUGUGUUGCGUGUUUAAUGCGAGCCUUGAGAACUACAUAUUUUUUUGCACCGUGGUUUAGCGAUGGUCCAGGCUAACAGACUUUAAAUGUUAUUGCUUCUUGUGUUUAGUAGUAGAAACAGUCUUGUGUUUAGUAAUAAAAAAGAGAAGCAUUACACGCAAUUAACUCAAAUGUUUAUUGUUGGGCAUGCUAUUUUGCAUUUUUGGUUUAUUUCUGUGUUCCUUCCAGGUUUAUAACCUGUGCAAUGGCUGUGCAAUGUUACAUUAAAUAACAGCAACUAGUCAAGCACGAGUUGUAACAGUGUGUUUCCUGUUAAGCCCUUUCCAAGGGCUAAGCUCAAAAUGUCGGAACUAUAUCUAGUAACGUCUUUAAGUCUUUAUAUGUCGGUCCUAACAGGUUCUCAUGAAUAAACCUUGAUCAUUUUAUAUUCUGUUUAUUAAAGCUGUGAUAUUGUACAGUGGAUGUGAACAGCUGAUGCUCCGUGUAGAUGCAAAUCUCUGUCAGAGCUUCCUGCUGAGGUGCAAAUGGAGGCAAAGACUCUCAUCACAGGUGCUUCUUCAAGUCCUGACCGAAAAAUAAUUGAUUUUAAAACCUCGUUUAAGGCUUAAUUUUGAGUACAGAGCUGAAUAUUUGGAAAUAAAGCUCAUAUUUUCUGUAAUUUGUCUUCUUCGUGCACACCGCCUGCUCCUCUGUGUCUAUCUGAUGUAGAUCUGUGUCUCUUCAUAAUCGCAUUCAAGUCUUUGUCUCUGUGCUGACAGUUUAGGCCGUUACCAUGGCAACAUCCAUCAUGUGAAAGAAGGAAAAGCGCAUUAAAGCUUCAAAACGCGCGACUCCAAGCUUCACACCUCGCCGAUGAUAUCAAGAAGUCAUUAUCACCUCAGAGCGAGGAGGACGGGAUUAUUCCUCGCCGCUUCGCCACCGUGGGGUUUCACACUGCUGUUUGUGCGCACGUGUCAGCGUGUUUGUGUGUCAGCGUGUUUGUGUGUCAGUGUGCUUGUGGUCACUUGGCUCAUAAAGUGGGUGUUUGCCAAAGUGAGAGGACAGAGCAGCUCUCUGUUCUCAGAUCAGUUGGUGGCAGCGUUUUUUGGCUGAAGUGCUUGGAGGACAUUCAGUCAACGUCUGUCGUCUUUGUUUGUUUGUUUUGGGAUUUUUUGUUAAACCCAAACCGUAAAUAAAGCAUGAAGAAG